AGUGAACGCUGGCGGCAGGCCUAACACAUGCAAGUCGAACGGUAACAGGAAGCAGCUUGCUGCUUUGCUGACGAGUGGCGGACGGGUGAGUGAUGUCUGGGAAACUGCCUGAUGGAGGGGGAGAACUACUGGAAACGGUAGCUAAUACCGCAUAACGUCGCAAGACCAAAGGGGGGGACCUUCUGGCCUCUUGCCAUCGGAUGUGCCCAGAUGGGAUUAGCUAGUAGGUGGGGUAACGGCUCACCUAGGCGACGAUCCCUAGCUGGUCUGAGAGGAUGACCAGCCACACUGGAACUGAGACACGGUCCAGACUCCUACGGGAGGCAGCAGUGGGGAAUAUUGCACAAUGGGCGCAAGCCUGAUGCAGCCAUGCCGCGUGUAUGAAGAAGGCCUUCGGGUUGUAAAGUACUUUCAGCGGGGAGGAAGGGAGUAAAGUUAAUACCUUUGCUCAUUGACGUUACCCGCAGAAGAAGCACCGGCUAACUCCGUG
RNAcentral lists this ribosomal RNA (490 nucleotides) under uncultured bacterium. Its description in RNAcentral is "partial 16S ribosomal RNA". It matches the Rfam family "Bacterial small subunit ribosomal RNA", at positions 29 to 507 of the family's 1533-position model. The record is from RNAcentral.